CGUAGGAGGCGAGCGUUAUCCGGAUUCACGUGGGCGUAAAGCGCGUGCAGGCGGUGCGGUAAGUUGGGCGUGAAAUCUCCCGGCUCAACUGGGAGAGGUCGUCCAAUACUACCGUACUUGAGAGCAGAAGAGGAAGAUGGAAUUCCCGGUGUAGUGGUGAAAUGCGUAGAUAUCGGGAGGAACACCAGUGGCGAAGGCGAUCUUCUGGUCUGUUUCUGACGCUCAGACGCGACAGCUAGGGUAGUAAACGGGAUUAGAGACCCCGGUAAUCCUAGCCGUAAACGAUGUGAACUUGGCGUUGGUGGGUUAAACUCCAACAGUGCCGCAGCAAACGCGAUAAGUUCACCGCCUGGGGACUACGGCCGCAAGGUUA
This 373-nucleotide ribosomal RNA is filed under the name uncultured organism. RNAcentral describes it as "bacterial SSU rRNA". It matches the Rfam family "Bacterial small subunit ribosomal RNA", at positions 526 to 896 of the family's 1533-position model. The record is from RNAcentral.